UGCUUCUGCGAAAGAAUUAUACAAGCAAAACAAAGAUAACAAGUUGUAGAAUUUGCGUGCUACUUUUAACAAUACAACUACACUCAUGGAACACUAUAUUUGGACAUAUAUUAUUUCGAAUAUCGAGUAAUUCGAAAUAUGAAGAAUUAAUAUGUGGAAAAUGUCACACUUUAAAUCUACAUAAUUAUGAUUUUUACAAGUUGUUGUUUUUAUUAUCAGAACAAGGAUUACAUACAUAUAACAUGGGUACGCGGGAAAUCAGUUUUUAUGCUACAGUGAAGAAAAACAUGUGAGCAUUUCAUUUAGAAUACAUAGCAUUUUUGCUAUCAUAUUUUUGUUAGUUUCGGAAAAUUUUUAUAACGCAUAUUUAAAUUAAUAAGUCGACAAUAACAACAAGUAUAACUAUAAUAUACGUGUUUUUGUUACGCUCUAUGAAGAAAUUAUAUAUAUUUUUACAUGACAUUAGCCAAAAUAAUAAGAAAUUUCAACGCCACGACAACACUGCAACGAUAACACCAAUUGGAAUGGAGAGGAACGAUGGGAAUAAGUUUUGGUACAGAACGCGAAUACAUAAGCAAAUGGAAAAUAGCAAACGCACACACAAAUAUGCUAUAAAAACUGCAAUACAUAAAGGCAAUCGCAGUUCUUUAUAUACGUUGAGCGACGGAUACAAAUUAUAACCAAACAUGUCUUUUCCCUCGUCUACAUACGGUCACUUUUCUAUGUGUGUACUUUGAAAA
Zeugodacus cucurbitae (melon fly) is the source of this 740-nucleotide long non-coding RNA. RefSeq lists it as uncharacterized. NCBI's taxonomy places the organism in Eukaryota, Metazoa, Arthropoda, Insecta, Diptera, Tephritidae. The transcript has 2 exons. The record is from RefSeq and is a predicted model, not a curated record.